UUAAAGUUGUUGCGGUUAAAAGCUCGUAGUUGGAUUUCUGUUGGGUAUCGCGUGGUCUGCUCCUCGAGUACGUAUCUGCGUCGAUCCUGGCAUCCUCGCAACGCUCUGUGGCAUUAAUUUGCUGCUUGGCUUGCGACUUUUACUUUGAGGAAAUUAGAGUGUUCACGGCAGGCAUUUGCUUUGAAUAUAUUAGCAUGGAAUAAUAACAUAGGACUUCGGUUUUAUUUUGUUGGUUUCUAAGGCUGAAGUAAUGAUUAAUAGGGACAAUUGGGGGCACUCGUACAAAUCCGUCAGAGGUGGAAUUCUUGGUUUGGAUUCUGACGAACUACUGCGAAAGCAUUUGCCAAGGAUGUUUUCAUUGAUCAAGAAC
This 370-nucleotide ribosomal RNA is filed under the name uncultured Syndiniales. RNAcentral describes it as "bacterial SSU rRNA". It matches the Rfam family "Eukaryotic small subunit ribosomal RNA", at positions 604 to 984 of the family's 1831-position model. The record is from RNAcentral. Lineage: Eukaryota; Dinophyceae; Syndiniales.